AUGGCGGCAGCGCUUUGGAUUGCGGCGAAGAGGAUCUGCGGUGGCGCCCUCGAGCGACCACCGCAGGGGCUUCUCUCGGCUGCCAAGGAGCUGACAUCGAGGACUAGCAAUGGCGGGAGCUCUCUUCGCCGGUUCGGCUCCUCCGAAUCACCAAGCCUGCUUAAUAAGAACAACAAGCAUGGAGCCAAAUCCGCCGCCAGCAUUGCAGAAUCCUCCACACAAGUGAAGCACCCUGCAUCAUCAUCACCACGUCCACCUAAAGAUGAGAAGCAGUUUCUGGCCACUGUAAUGAAAUUAACACUCGGCGCCGUGGUAUUUACGGUUGCAGGCCUCUACGUGGAGGCCAAGUAUAUAAUCAAUGGCCCUUUCCUUGGGAGGGAGCGGCCUGUGGAGGACACUGGUGAACGUUCAGAUGCUAUAUGCUUUAUCAAGUAA
RNAcentral lists this ribosomal RNA (435 nucleotides) under Triticum aestivum (bread wheat). RNAcentral describes it as "partial small subunit ribosomal RNA". The record is from RNAcentral. Lineage: Eukaryota; Viridiplantae; Streptophyta; Magnoliopsida; Poales; Poaceae.